AAAUGUUUAAAUACUCUGCACGCAGCCUGGAGCUUUCUCUUUGCUGCGUGCAACUGAUCACCUGGAGCACUUGGACCGUCUGGAGGACAGUGGAGCGAUCUUCUCAUUGUCUCAUUGUCUGGUUACAUUUCUUUAUUUUCCCCUUCUUUUUAAUCUUCUCUGGUCCCUUAAUUAAUUUAAUUCCCUUUUUUCCCCCCUGUUUGAUUUCCCACCCCACCCCUUACCCUGCCCUUUGGGAAGAUUCUCCCUGUACCUGUGAGCGCUGCCUGUGCAUAAUCCUCCUUGGCUUUUUAACUAUGCUGUUUCUGAACAAGUUUAUUUUCUUCAAGUUUGUUUUUCCCUGAUAGUGGCGACUGCCAUUUUAGAGACAAGCCAUUGUGGCUUAGUGGCUAGAGUACAGGACUAGGACCUGGGAGACAGGGUUCAUAUCCCCCACUUAGCCAUUGUUGUAACAAAGCAAAACAAGCUGCUCCUUUUGGACUAUUUUGUUGCUGGGUAGUUUGGCCCAUUUGUGAUAUUGCUCCCAAAAAGAACUUUGGGUUUCUUGAGGUGCUUCCCUCUAAAGGGCAAGCAGGGGUACCUGGACAGGCAGUGGGCUGCCUCGAGUUUGUUAUCUCAUUGGAAACAUUUAUGUCUGGCCUAGCAGGUUAUCCUAGGGCUUGGCCCGCUUGGCCCUAGAAUUUGAUGGCCUCUGGCAGCAUUUCUGGCCUGAAUAGGGUCCCCAUGUGGUGCACAAAGCAUUGGUUUCACCUGUUCCUCACAUUGUUUAGGUUUUUUCUUUUUGCAGACUAUGACAGGGCCUUUGCAGAUGCCUCCAGAGCUUGCUUCUCCUGCAGAGGAUGACUUGCUGAUGCCCCAGGUGCCUUCUUCCAGAAGGAAGCGUCUUCAGAGGCAGGAAAAAGCAGAGCAGGGAUGAUGCUUACACCUCCUUGCAGGUAAAUCAUCCCUGGGCUCUGAUGAUGAUUCAGACAUCACCUUGGACCUCUCCAGGGGUCAGGAUGAGGCUGUUCUGGGUCUUUAGGGAUCAUCCUGGAUAGCUCAGCUGGUCAGCGUAUGGUGCCGGUAAUGCCUAGGUUGCAGGAUUGGUCCCUGUAUGGGACAACUGCAUGCUCCCUCAUCACUCUACCCGGACACUGAGGUCCAGCGCCAAGGGCCUUUCUGGUGGUUCCCUCACUGUGAGAAGCCAAGUUACAGGGAACCAGGUGGAGGGCCUUCUCGGAAGUGGCACCCGCCCUGUGAUACACCCUCCCACCAGAUGUCUACUACCAGACUUUUAGAAGACAUCUAAGGCAGCCCUGUUUAGGGAAGCUUUUAAUGUUUGAUGCAUUACUGUAUUUUAAUAUUUUGUUGGAAGCUGCCCAGUGUGGCUGGGGAAGCCCAGCCAGAUGGGUGGGGUACAAAUAGAUGAUGAUGAUGAUGAUGAUGAUGAUGAUGAUGAUGAUUAUAUUGUGGGAGAGUGGACUAGAUGAUCCUCGGAGUCCCUUCCAACCCCACUAUUCUAUAAGUGGUAAUUCACUAUGAUGGGAAUGUUAGACGCAGGGCUGCCAUCAUCCCCUCAGCUCACUAGGAUCGCAGGGACGGGGACAUGUGGACCACUUGCGCAGCUCCACAUUUCAAAUGGAAAUUCCCUGAGCAAUAGAACCUGAAGCUGGUAUGCAGGAAGCUGGCCUGGUGGCAGCUUUGUUGGGACUUCUUUAGGGUUUCUGGCCAGUGUUGGCCCUGUAAAUUUACACAUCAUGGUGGCAACAGAAGGCAGGGCAUCUUGCCCAAGCAGGGGCUGGCAAGCAAUAACUCAAUACCUCUCGUCCAUAUUUCCAUAAAAAUAUCUCCCUUGAAAGCCUGGCUAAAAGGUUAUCUAGAUGGGUCAGUGGCUUUGUGCAUGUGGGAAGGGUUUUUCCCAAGGUUUGGGAUUCCUCUGGCUUUUCAGCCAGUGGCUCAGAAUACAGCAACUCAAAAGCCAGUUAGAGAGCUACCUGUGGUAGCCAGAAAGAAGGUUAGGAAGCAGCUUGCAUUGGGACGUAUGGUGGGAUCCCCUUGGUUCUCCUUCUAGUCCCGAUUUUCAUUUAUCCCCAUUGGGGAUCGUCCCUAAGAAAGCCCCAUAUAAUUCCAUCUGAUCCAUAUUUAUCGCAUCCCAAAGGCACCUCAGUGAAUGAUGCUAUCCCUCUGGAAUUGUUCCAUGAAAUAUGCAUCUUUGGAUCAGGCAGUUGAGCUUACCAACAAAUUGGAGGAGGUGCCUUGUUGGCAUUAUGCGAUAUUGAAUCGGCUGUUAGGAUGCUGCCGGUUCACCCUCAAGAUUUUAAGUAGUUAGGCUUUAAUUGGAUGGUCCUUAUAUUGAUAAGGCGAUGCCAGUGGGUUGCUCAAUAGGCUGUGCAGCACUUGAGUCCUUUAGCGCCUUUCUGGAUUGAACAUUGCGAGUCAAGACUCGUUUAACUGGGGGUAUCGUUAUGUGGAUUAUUUUACUGGCUGGUUCAUGUGACACUAGCCACUGCUUAGGCUAACUGGACGCCCCUUUAUUCCCUGAGGAACUGGGUGUUCUGUUGGCAGUGGAGGACAGUGGGUCCUACUGCCCCUUUUAACGUAUUUGGGGGCUAGCUGGAUACCGUUGCUCAAACAUCUGCUUGCCUGUGGAAAAGCUGUUUGCCUUGAAGGACGUUAUUCUUGUAAUACUUCCUCUGAAGCAAGUGUUGCUUUGUCAGAUCCUAUCAUUCCUAGGUCAGUUAAAUUUUGCAUGCAGGGUGGUUGCUCCAGGCUGCCCCUUCCAUUCCUGCUUGGCCAGGUGGUCUCAUGGCCCGGGGUUCCUUCAUCAUCAUGUACAGUGGCCUUGAGCCUGGCAGGGCAAGGCAAUCACAUGUGACCUAACUUUUCUCGAGUUUUCCCCAUUGUAGUGUCAGCACACAUCUGGACUGAGGAGUUUAGGGACCGUCGGGUCUGUCUUGGUCUGAUAACCAGGCAGUGUGAGAGUCCUGGCAAAACAGUCCUCAUGCUCUGGCAGAGUCUUCGCACUGCUUAAGGUUUAAUAUUGCGUUUCUGCUCGCUUUAUUUCGGGAUCAUCUAAUGUUUUCGCUGUCGCUCUAUCCCGUUUUUUCAGUUGGAGAGCUUCAGAUCCUGGGCUCUGGAUGCCCAGCUAUAGCCGGAUUUUUCUGGAGCUCCUGUGGCAUUUGGCAACAAUUAAUAAUUGUGGUUCGAGGACCCGACCCCCGCGAUGUGAAAUAAAUACACAAGGACACGUGAUAUAAGGUUAAUGGGCAAGAAAAGGCCACAACUUUAUUGAUUACAGCAGUGAAAAGGUAUUGGCUUAGGCAUUGGAUGUCUAACACAAGGGGUUUAUUCACCAGUAGGUGGAGCCUGUUGAUGCUAAUCCAACUAUAGGCUCUCCCCUGAUGUCACCGGGGUCGUGCCAUGGCCUCCCGCCAAGCAGGCAUCGGACAGAGUACACGACCGCCAGAUUCCUUUAACGGAAUACCCAAAAAUUGAAGGCAUAGGCGAUGGCCACACCCAGCCCUUCGACACACCACAACACAUUAUUCCAAUGCCUAACCGCCACCCGAGCCAAUAAGGCUCGCCGCCAAUACCCUCACGGCUGUAACCAAUCCCUAAUGCUGCUGAUGACACUAUCUAGCCAAAUGUUGUUCCCCUGGUCAGAGGGAAGCGCCCCGUCAUUCCGGUAUAAGGCCCGGUCGCCGAUCCGGAUUUGGUCAUGAUAAAUGACUCGGCCAUUCAUGAAGCGCACCCAACGGGCCACUGCCCGAUUUACGAGUUUCCUGGUUUUUUCAAUGGAGGCCGAGGAGAGGCUGGCACCGCCGCAAAAGGCUGCUGAACACGCCCCCUCGAAGGCACCUGGUUGGAUGCCUGCCAAGGGGGCGUGGGCGCCAGCCAGGUGAGAGGAGGAGGCAAGGGGCUAAUGCCCCCUGCUAGGGGUGGUGCUCGGGCUCCCGCCCACAACCACUCCCCUCUCUUCCAGGGAGGAGAGUCUUUAUGAGGAGUAGUAGCUUACGUUUCCCCAUCUGCUUUCAGGUCUUAUGAGAAGGCCUGGACUGAUUUCUUAAAAUUUAGCUGGCAGUCCUCAGCCAUUCAGAGGAACCUGCCCCCAUCCUCUGAGCAGGACCUGCAGUAAUUCGCCCACCUGCUGCAGAUCGGAUGCACUGUUAAAACUAUCAGAAUUCAGUCCGCUGCAAUGUCUGCUAGAGUAAAGCUUUAAUUUUUCAGAGACCCUUCUAAAAGUGUGUCUUGCACAGGGUCUCGGAAGGUUGGACUAGGCUCCAACCUUCACAGGACAGCAGGCAGGAAGCCGGUCAAUCUUUGACCUAUGCAGUAUCCGCAACAAGUUAAGACUUGUCGGCUGGUUCAAGAUCAAGACGAGACUUCUUUCAGUAUUCCAUUGUAAUUUUGGUGUACUGAGGGUUGGGGAAAUUGUGUUGGAGCCAGCACGGGGCUGAGAGUUUGGAGGCUUAUUGCCUCAGGACUUUUCCUUAUCUGCUUUGGAGCUUAUCAUAAGUGUCUGGAGCUCUAAGUGAGACCUAGUGAGCAGGGUUGCCACCAUCAGGCUUCCAGUCACAGGUGAGGUGGGCCCUUGCCCUGUUAUUGGAUACCGGAAAUAUUUGGCUUUUCGUUCCCCUGGGGGCUGGCUCGAUCCUAGUGCACAGAAAUGGGUUCCGGUUCGACAGGCAUCUAAUUGCUCACGUCGUGCGCCAGUUAUUGCAGCCUGCGGCUUGCCCACCGCUGAACACGCCUCAUUCCUUCUGAAUAGGUGCUGCUGCAAAGGCUGCGCACUGGGGCCUGUUAGUAGACAGGAUUGUGAAUACGGGUCAUUGGAAGUCUGACGCUGACAAAGGUUAUGUCAGGAAGCAUCACCAAUGAUGCCUGUGCUGAUGCCUGUCUGUUAUUCCUUUUUUCAUAGGAGCAGCUGUGCGCAUUUGGAUUGUCGGCCACAGCAUCAUGCACUGAGCUGGCAAGCACCCUGAUGAGUCUGGACUGGGGGCGCCAUCUUGGCCUUCCUGCCCAUGUUUCUAGCUCCAGUCCGCAUCUGGAUUGUGGGGCACAGCAUCGUUUACUGGGCUGGCAUCAGAGCUAGGCAGUCUGGAAGGGGACUGGGUCUUGGCCUCCCGCAGCAUGUGCAGGUGUUGUGGAUGUCCAGGUGCAGAAUGCAGUGGAGCGAAUUCAUCCCGCUAAUUAAGCAGAGGGUGCUUUCGGAUGCCCCCCCCCAUGGCAAUUGUGGUUCAGCUGGGCGAGAACGAUGUGGCAACUUAUGAUUGCUUUACUUUGCGCUCCACGAUUCAGAGAGACUUGGGGGAAUUGGUGACCUUAAUACCCACAGUUAAAAUAUUUUGGUCACAAUUGCUGCAAAGGCGCAAUUGGCACGGCAUUUCUCGACCUGAGGCUGCUGAAAGGGCCAGGAAGCACAUUAAUUCCGCAGUGUGUAAAAAGGUGGCAGAAUUGGGUGGGUUGGUUAUUUCCCGCCCGGAUAUUACCUUCAAGGCUCUGGCCCUUUACCGCAAUGAUGGAGUACAUCUCUCUGUACUGGGGAAUGAUGUUUGGUUGGAUGCGGUAACUGCAAUGUUGAAGGUUGGGUUGGGAUUGUGAGUGGUUGGCGGAGAGUGUAAAGGGCUCGAUUGGCGGUUAGGCAUUGGUUAUAAAUUGGUGGAGGAGGGGUUAGGAUAGGCUGGGCCUGCCCCUCCAUUGUUGCUGCGGAAAGGGAAUUCCGUUAAAGGAAUCCUGGGGCUUGCCAUCUUUUCGUCCAAUCCCUGGAAUGGGACUAGGGCCGGCAAGCCUUCGGGGAGCAUGCGGAUGAGAAUUGAGGGUCUGUGACUCAGCUCCAUUUCCCCCCGACUUGUUUUCCCGCACUGUCUUUCGGUGGUGCCCGGAAGUCAGUUCUGUCCCCAGGCGGGGGGACAGAUAGUCUUAACCAAUGCCUAAACAACUACUCACGGUUUUGUAUUUAAAUAAAGUUGUGGCCAAAAUUAUGCCAAAAACCUUAAACAAAAAUUAAGUGUGCGUUGUGAGUUAUUUGGGGGGUGGCUUGGGGACCUCGACACGCAAAGACUCCUUUAGUAGUUGUAAAUCUAGGUGUCAAGUGGCCAUCCGGGGAGAUCUUCACCUGACAAAUAUUUUUUAUCAAGAAAAGUAGUCGGGGGUUCUAGCCCAAUAGCAUUCAAUUUCUCCCAUAACAGCCCUCUAGGUAUCGAGUCAAAAGCACUUUUCAGAUCAAUAAAAUCCAUGUAUAACUUCCCCCUUUCGGAUUUCAUAUAUUUAUCUGCUAGAAAAACAAGUGAGAGACAGUGAUCAAUAGUUUAUUUCCGUUUUGUAAAUCUGAUCUGUUCAGGGCCAUUAAUUCUGUUCAUUUUAAUCCAGUCCAAUAGAUAGCACUAUAAAUGUUUAGAGUUUACUUGUAGUGGACAGAAGACUAAAAGGGCAAUCAUUACACGGCUGCUCAGAAUUGCCUUUUUAUAGAUUGGGAUUGUUACAGAAGUUAACCACGAUUUUGGUAUAAUUCCAUAUUGGUCUAUAAGAGUGGGAAGCUUAGCAAACGGUGAUGG
This 6533-nucleotide long non-coding RNA is filed under the name Podarcis lilfordi (Lilford's wall lizard). Lineage: Eukaryota; Metazoa; Chordata; Lepidosauria; Squamata; Lacertidae. The record is from RNAcentral.